Long non-coding RNA from Asparagus officinalis (garden asparagus), 865 nucleotides. RefSeq lists it as uncharacterized. The record is from RefSeq and is a predicted model, not a curated record. NCBI's taxonomy places the organism in Eukaryota, Viridiplantae, Streptophyta, Magnoliopsida, Asparagales, Asparagaceae. The transcript is spliced from 3 exons.
ACGAGUUCCUCCCUCCUCUCCGAGCUUCCCCGCUGUCGACGCUGACCCCGACGCCGAGCUCCUUCCCCGUGCUUCUCCCUCGUUGAAGACCGAGCUCCUCCUUCGACGCCGACGCUGAGCUCCUCCCUCGUCGAUGCAUUUGAGCAAAUAUUCAGAGGCCGAGCUCCUCCCCCGUCUACGCCGGACUCUCUCUUCGAAUUAUUGAUGGCGAUCUCUCCAACACCCAGCCUCGACAAUCUCUUCGAAAAUCAAAGUGUUUCACUCCAAAGAACCAAUCUUUCUGAAAAUUUUUCUGAGGUAAGCCAUCGGUCUUAAAACGUCGGAUUAUUGCUAAUUCUGUGAUUAUUAGCUGUGAUUGAAUUUUCUGAAUAAUUAUCAUGUUCUUUGGAAUUAUUAGCUGUGAUUGAAUUUAAUUCUUUUGGUUGAGGAUAAAAUUUGAAGAAGAUUAUUUAAUGCAUGACAUGAAUAUCACUAGUAUAUUGAUUAUUGCUACCUCAUUGCCAAUGUUUCACGGCUACGAGAACACCUGGUUGUAACUUUGGAGCAUGUCAGAGCAUUUUUGGAGCCUGUUGCGUGUUCGAACAACUCCUUGGAUGACGAGUCAACCAGCUGAAGUUUCCCCCAGGUUGUUGGAGCACAGGUUGCUGGAGCAUAAUGUUAUUUAAGCAUUUAAGUAUCUUGGAUCUCAGUCUACAUGUAUCGACAAUAACUUUGGUUGUAACUUUUUUUUGUUUUGAAACAUGAAAAUGACUCUAAUUUGUGAGAACACCUGAUUGUAACUUUGGAUGAUGUAACCUGGUGUUAGAAAUCUCUGCUAGUUUCUUCUAAAUGUGUUUAUGGUGAAAUUGUUUAAUGUGUGUAUUCA